UGCAAGUCGGACGGAUGGUUUCGGCCAUCAGUGGCGCACGGGUGAGUAGCGCGUGGGAACCUGCCUUUCAGUGGGGGAUAACCGAGGGAAACUUCGGCUAAUACCGCAUGCGCCCCGGGAAACCGGGGGAAAGAUUGAUCGCUGAGGGAGGGGCCCGCGUCGGAUUAGCUGGUUGGUGGGGUAACGGCCUACCAAGGCGAUGAUCCGUAGCUGGUCUGAGAGGAUGGCCGGCCACACUGGAACUGAGACACGGUCCAGACUCCUACGGGAGGCAGCAGUGGGGAAUCUUGCACAAUGGGCGAAAGCCUGAUGCAGCGACGCCGCGUGGGGGAUGAAGCUUCUCGGAGUGUAAACCCCUUUCGAUCCGGACGAAUGUCCCGCAAGGGAUUGACGGUACGGGUAUAAGAAGCCCCGGCUAACUACGUG
This 426-nucleotide ribosomal RNA is filed under the name uncultured bacterium. Its description in RNAcentral is "bacterial SSU rRNA". It matches the Rfam family "Bacterial small subunit ribosomal RNA", at positions 56 to 507 of the family's 1533-position model. The record is from RNAcentral.